GAUGAACGCUGGCGGCGUGCCUAAUACAUGCGAGUCGAGCGAACAGACGAGGAGCUUGCUCCUCUGACGUUAGCGGCGGACGGGUGAGUAACACGUGGAUAACCUACCUAUAAGACUGGGAUAACUUCGGGAAACCGGAGCUAAUACCGGAUAAUAUAUUGAACCGCAUGGUUCAAUAGUGAAAGACGGUUUUGCUGUCACUUAUAGAUGGAUCCGCGCCGCAUUAGCUAGUUGGUAAGGUAACGGCUUACCAAGGCAACGAUGCGUAGCCGACCUGAGAGGGUGAUCGGCCACACUGGAACUGAGACACGGUCCAGACUCCUACGGGAGGCAGCAGUAGGGAAUCUUCCGCAAUGGGCGAAAGCCUGACGGAGCAACGCCGCGUGAGUGAUGAAGGUCUUCGGAUCGUAAAACUCUGUUAUUAGGGAAGAACAAAUGUGUAAGUAACUAUGCACGUCUUGACGGUACCUAAUCAGAAAGCCACGGCUAACCACGUG
This 497-nucleotide ribosomal RNA is filed under the name uncultured bacterium. RNAcentral describes it as "partial 16S ribosomal RNA". It matches the Rfam family "Bacterial small subunit ribosomal RNA", at positions 28 to 507 of the family's 1533-position model. The record is from RNAcentral.